AGCAGCCGCGGUAAUUCCAGCUCCAAUAGCGUAUAUUAAAGUUGUUGCAGUUAAAAGCUCGUAGUUGAAUUUCGGGAUCAAUUAAUCGGUCGUGCCUCUGGUACGCACUGGUUUUAUUGGUUUCUCCCUUCUGACGAACCAGGAUGUCAUUAAUUUGGUGUCUUGGAGAAUCAGGACUGUUACUUUGAAAAAUUAGAGUGUUUAAAGCAGGCUAACGCUUGAAUACAUUAGCAUGGAAUAAUGAAAUAGGACGUUUGAUCCUAUUUUGUUGGUUUCUAGGAUCGACGUAAUGAUUAAUAGGGAUAGUUGGGGGCAUUAGUAUUCAAUUGUCAGAGGUGAAAUUCUUGGAUUUAUUGAAGACUAACUACUGCGAAAGCAUUUGCCAAGGAUGUUUUCAUUAAUCAAGAACGAAAGUUAGGGAUCGAAGACGAUCAGAUACCGUCGUAGUCUUAACCAUAAACUAUGCCGACUAGGGAUCGGAUGAUGUUAAUUUUUUAAUGACUCAUUCGGCGCCUUAACC
This 520-nucleotide unclassified non-coding RNA is filed under the name uncultured Glomus. RNAcentral's name for it is "SSU rRNA". It matches the Rfam family "Eukaryotic small subunit ribosomal RNA", at positions 569 to 1093 of the family's 1831-position model. Lineage: Eukaryota; Fungi; Glomeromycota; Glomeromycetes; Glomerales; Glomeraceae. The record is from RNAcentral.